CUCAGCCAGUGGGCUGAGUUCCCUCUCUAGAACCCAUGGUGGAAGGACCAACUCCUGAGAGCUGUUUUCUGACCUCCAUACCUGCACUCAAAUCGCUGGACCUAAAAGUAAACGCUCUCGACUUGCCCCGAGGGACAGGUCAGGUGGCCCCUGAACAGGGACCCUGAAAACGAGGGACACUGUGAGGAACACUGGUUGUUUGGAACUCCGGGUGCCAAAGCGACCGACCGAUGCUUUGUGACGACCACCCAUCGCUCAGAGACAAAGGAAAAUGAUGUGGCUCGAUGGCUACCGGAAGGCCUGGUGGGACAAGUGGAUGAGAAGCUUUCUCCUGACAAUGAGAAUGAUGUCAAUGAGGACCCCUCCAGUCAAGAUGACUGCUUACUGAACAUACGUUCCUGAUCCACCUUUACUACAUCCAGUUUCCUGGGAUGAUCAAAAGUCCUUGUUUAUGUCAACAACACUCGGCUGCUGGUUUUCCUGCUUUUGAAGGAACGCAAGUAAAACAGACGCUUAACUUUUCAGGAAUAGGAAAAGGUCAUCCUCUCUGCUUUACCAAUGAAGAGUAUUCAUCAGGACUGCUCACCAGUCUCCCCUGCCCAGGUCAUAGGCCAGAAUGCCUACUACUCUAAAGUUGGGGUAGCAGCUCAAGCCUCCCUUUGUAACCAGGCAUAUUGGAAUAUUGGAGGGAUAUUACUGCCGUCCCCCCCCACAGGAGUUAAGAAUGACAGUCUUACAUCUCCAAUGAGUUACUGACCUUGUGAGAAAGGGGGCCAGCGCACUUGUCCUUGACCAAUGGUUCCUUGGACAAGAUGCAUCAGAGAAACGCCCACCAUCUACUCCUGGGACAAUGACCCUGCAUGUACAGUUGUGGACUGGUCUAUCAUUAAGGGUAUAAAGAACUUGGCUUCUGAUAGAGGCAGUCAAAAUUCCCUUGUUUUAGAAAAAGCUGUUCUGGACUUUGGAGAACAUCAAAUAGAAAUUGGCAAACCUAUGUGUGAAAUUGGGGCUGCCUGAGGAAUGCCUUAGGCAUUCUCCAUGGGAAUGCAAGUAGGUUUUACUGAAUUAGUUAAGUAUACUUCUAUUUUGGCAUGUGUUAAUCCUCCUUAUUUACUGUUACCUGGUAAAAUCAUAGUAAAACAUUUUAAAAAUAAUACCUAUUUGACUGAAUGUGUAAACUGCAAUCCUAACUAAUUAUGUUAAGACUGAUAGUGAAGCUCUUUCAGUAUUAGUUGUUAAGCAACCUCUUUUUGUUAUGAUUCCUGUUAGGGUUUCUGAUUCUUGGUAUGAUGAGGGGAAUGUUGUUAUUUUUGAGGAAUUAAAAAAAAGAGUUGCAGUGGGAUUGAUUGUGGCAGGAGUAAUUGUGCUCAUUACACUUAUUGCCUCUGCUCCUGUGUCUGCGGUUGCCUUGUCACAAUUCGUACAAGCUGCUUCUUAUGUGGAAAAUUUGGCACAUAAUAUUUCAGAAGUUUUACAUGCUCAAGCAGAUAUUGAUGAUAAGAUUAACCACAAGCUAGAUGAUUUAGCCUCUACAGUCAAUUUACUAGAAGACAUGCAUAGCUUAAAACAAUUAAGCAGCUUAGGAUGCCACGCAGCAUUCAGAUGGAUUUACAUUAUGCCUUUUGAAUAUAACGAGGCAGAAUUUAACUGGACUCGGGUUCAGAAUCAUCUUGCUGGCGUUUGGUCUAGCAAAAACUUCUCAUUGGACGUGAUAACUAUGAGAAAUAAGAUCCACGACAGAGAAUCUGCCAAGGGACCUAGAUUGGAAUUGGCCAAUAAAGCCUGGGAUAUAGGAGGCACUUUCCAUCCUUUGACUCUGUGCUUAAGUGGGGACUGACACUUGCGGGCAUGGCGGGUAUGGGUUUAUUAGCCUGUGCCUGCCUUCCUUGCGUGUUACAGUUCCUUCUUCAACAACUUCAGCGCACACAAGUGCAGCUGCGUGAAUUUAAAUUAAAGAUCUCUAACAACCCUGUUUGAUAUGGAGGUAAGUCAGAGACGGGUAAGAGUAAAAAUGUGGUUUUACUGACCUAAGACAGAGGCUCCUGAAAAUUGCAUCUGAGACCUUGAUGACAGGUAAGAAAAAUGCUCAUUUCACCAACCUAAGACAGGCUCUCCAUAAAACAAAAAAGGGGGAACUGAAGAGUCUGGUAAUGGAAUUUUGCCUCUUGGCCUUGGCAGAUGUGGGUUUAAUCUAAAGUUCAGUUUCUCAGAGACUGAUCCUGGCAGUUUCUCCAGCAGGGAGCUCUGUUCCUAAGAACUAGGUAACAAACCUUGUGAAACCUUGAGUGAAUCCUUGGGUGUUUUGCCAAGUGAAGCAAAUGGGCUGUUGCUAUGAGAAAGUUGCUUGUGGCUUUUUGCUUUAAAAAAGCUGUUUGAGUGCCUAAUAAACCAGUCUUGAUCAGAAA
Molecule: long non-coding RNA, 2405 nt
Organism: Meriones unguiculatus (Mongolian gerbil)
Lineage: Eukaryota; Metazoa; Chordata; Mammalia; Rodentia; Muridae
Exons: 3
Source: RefSeq, a predicted model, not a curated record